This 303-nucleotide long non-coding RNA is filed under the name Homo sapiens (human). RNAcentral's name for it is "HSALNT0250109". The record is from RNAcentral. Lineage: Eukaryota; Metazoa; Chordata; Mammalia; Primates; Hominidae.
GGUGAGGUCUAGUGAACGGAGCCCAGGAUCCAUGUAAAUCCUCAGUGAACACUUUCUUACAGGAGAUUAGGCAGCUGGUAAAACAUGAAGGCCUGGUCGAGGGAAACAGGUAGGCCUUCAGGGGGUCUGAUGCACUAUUGUCCUGAACUCUACUGCUUUGAAUGCAUGGCUUGGUGGGUUAUAGCUCCUUAUCUGCUCCUUGAAGUGAGUGAUAGCUACAAAUGGUCCCUGGAUUCAGGCAUCCCUGGCCCAUACAUCUCUCCACCUAACCCUUAACCUCAGCUCCUAAGGCUUGACUGCUGA